GACGAACGCUGGAGGCGUGCUUAACACAUGCAAGUCGAACGAUGAAAUGGAGCUUGCUCCAUGGAUUAGUGGCGAACGGGUGAGUAACACGUGAAUAACCUGCCCUUAAUUUUGGAAUAACCCAGGGAAACCUGGGCUAAUAGCGGAUAAGUAAACGUGUGGCAUCACCAGGUUUUGGAAAGUUUUUCGUUUAAGGAUGGUUUCGCGGCCUAUCAGCUUGUUGGUGGGGUCAUGGCUCACCAAGGCGACGACGGGUAGCCGGCCUGAGAGGGUGAACGGCCACGCCGGGACUGAGACACGGCCCAGACUCCUACGGGAGGCAGCAGUGGGGAAUAUUGCGCAAUGGACGAAAGUCUGACGCAGCGACGCCUCGUGAGGGACGAAGGUCUUCGGAUUGUAAACCUCUUUCAGCAGGGACGAAGCGAAAGUGACGGUACCUGCAGAAGAAGCACCGGCUAACUAUGUGCCAGCAGCCGCCGUAA
This 482-nucleotide ribosomal RNA is filed under the name uncultured bacterium. RNAcentral describes it as "partial 16S ribosomal RNA". It matches the Rfam family "Bacterial small subunit ribosomal RNA", at positions 28 to 523 of the family's 1533-position model. The record is from RNAcentral.